UGGAGUACCACAUGGAGUUCUUGGAGACACUUGGAGGCAUUUGGAGCUCAAAAAUGAGUGUUUAGAGUGGUCAUUGGGCGAGCAAGGCAUGGGAGCGACCAGUCUGGAGCGACACCACCAAGUCGCUCUGAUCACCCUACUGGAGCGACCUAACCAGAGCGACAGGGAGAAGUCGCUCGCGGUUUCAUCACCCGGAGACGCGAGAACGAACCCGGAGCGACCUCUCGCAGCGACACAGCGAGGUCGCUCCCGAAGCCUAGAGCGACUUGUCGGAGCGACGGGCUGAGGUCGCUGCGCGUUUUAUUUCUACUCGAACUUGUGAUUUCUCAAGGGCCUUUUGGUCAUUUCAUUAUGCACGUUUUUAUUUUCUAAACCUAUGUUUUAAUACUCUAGGAGCCACCAAGAGGGGGAUCAUCUUUGUUCUUAGAAAAAACCACCAAAAACCUUUGGAAAGUCAUCUCUUUGAAUCAAUUGAUCAGUUUAUUAUUGAGAAUUCUGUGUUCUUAUCUAUUUCCUGUGUUUCUCUACAUGAUUAAUCUGAAAUCCAAUAUGGGUUUAAGAUGAAUCAUGGAGAUUAGUGAGUAAUCACCUUUUGAAUUCAUGGGUUAGGGAGAUUAAGGGUGAUUAGGUUAGUUCUAGGAUGUUUUAGUGUAGAUCAUUCUUGUUCCUUGCUAGUAGAGUAUUCCUAAUGCAUCUUCUGAGUUGGCCACUCAAAAGUUGAUCAAUAGGCAUUUCCCACCCGAAAGGUGUUUGAUGAAAUGCCUGAGACAACUCUCCUAGGCUUUUAGUAUACUUUGCCAAAGACAUUUGUUGUUAAAGGUGCUAAGAUAGCUAAUAGACUUGUUAGUAAUGAUUGCUUUCAUAUUAUUCAACCAAAGACAUUUGAUGUUUGAGAUAUGUUAGCAAAUGAGCAUUUAUCUAGACAUAGAGCUUGCUUAGAAUUGUGUCUAGGCUUAAGGUUGAUAGUUUGAUUGAUCAUUUGCCAUCCUUAGUUUGAUACUUGAUCACCCAAGGUCUAAUCCCUAUGCCCAUGAGUUCUCUUUUCCCUUAGUCAAGAAAGUAUCAUUUUGUUAUUGCUUUCUAGUAUUAGUAGUAGUUUAAAACCCAUUUAAAUCAUUGGUUGCACUUAGAUUAAGUGAGUACUUGCAUUCUCAGUGCUUUGAUAUCCCUCAGAACUGGUUCGACAAUCACUAUACUACAACAUUUGUCUUAGGAGCCUUGAAAACUCCUAACAUCAAAUUGGCGCCGUUGCCAAAUUCUGAGUAGAUUUAAACAUUGAGAUUUAGUCACUUGCUCGAGACUAAGUCAUUUUAAUUUUGUUUUGUUACUGAUUCUUCUUCUUCACCUACCUUUCACUUUCAGGUGUAUGAACUUGAGGAGCAGGGGUCCAUCAAACCUAGUUCCAAUAGUAGCAGACAUCAGAGCUUUUGAGAGGGAGUGUGCUAGAGCUAGAAGAGAAGAAGAACACCAGGCCCACUUGGAUAUUGAUAUGGCAGAUCCACCGCAAGGGGCAGAACACCAACCGCGGGCAGCUCGACCCAUUGGCACUUACGACCGCCCCAACAUACAUGGUCACAGAUUCGGAAUCCGAGCACCAGCUGUGGCAGCCAACAACUUUGAGGUCAAGUCAGGACUCCUCAACGUGAUCGAGAACAACAAGUAUCAUAGCUUGGCUCUGGAGGACCCAUUUGAUCACUUGGAUAGGUUCGACAGCUACUGUGGGUUGUCAAAAACCAAUGGUGUGUCCGAAGAUGCCUUAAAGCUCAAGCUAUUCCCUUUCUCUUUGGGGGAUAAGGCACGUCAGUGGGAGAAGUCUCUACCCAGCGACUCUAUCACCACUUGGGAUGAGUGCAAGAGAGCAUUCUUGGAGAAAUUCUUCUCAUCCUCAAGAACUGCUAAGCUGAGAAAUGAGAUCUCCAGUUUCCAACAGAAGAACUUGGAAGGAUUCAGUGAAGCCUGGGAGAGAUUCAAGGGCUACCAAGCUCAAUGCCCACACCAUGGUUUCUCUAAGGAGAGCUUGCUGAGCACAUUCUACCGUGGUGCUCUUCCUAAGUACAGGGCCAGACUGGAUACAGCUAGCAAUGGGUUCUUCUUGGGGAGAACUGAGGAAGAUGCAGAGGAGCUGGUUGACAACAUGGUAAAAAGUGAUGCAGUCUACAGUGGAGACCACGACAGAAGCAGUCGAACAGAUGAUAAGCAGACGAGGAAGGAGUUGAAAGCUCUACAGGAUAAGAUAGACAUCCUCCUUGCUGAUAAAGCCACACAAGAGCAGCUGCACUUUGUUGGUAACCCAAGCCAAGAUACACCACCUGUUGUCCAUGAGGUUGAGGGUUUGGAAGGUCAGGAAGAGCUGUGUUUCAUCAACAACAAUGGUAGCUGGUACAAAAAAGAGCCCAACUUUCAGUACAACAACUACCAACAGAAAUCCUAUCCCAACAACCAACAGAGUGGUUAUCCGCCUCGAAACAACCAGCAAGGCAGCUAUCAACCUCAGCAAAACCCCUCAUCUGGUUCCUCUGCUCCUUAAAAGAGCAGCACUGACACCCUGCUGAAACAAAUCUUGGAGUCUCAGACUAGAAGUGAGAAGCAUGUUGGUUAUGAGUUGAAGAACCUUCAUUCCAAGAUUGAUGGGAGCUACAAUGAGCUCAACAACAAGUUCUCACAUCUUGCUUCUACAGUCAAGAAUUUAGAGAAUCAGUUUGCUUCCAUGAAUACUCACCAGACUCGCCAGCAAGGAUCUCUACCUGGAAAAUCUGACCAAAACCCCAAGGAGGCCAAAGCUAUCACCCUUAGGAGUGGUAAGCAGUUACCUCCUACAACCCUCACCAGGGAUGCUGAGAAACUAGGUGAGGAGGUGGCCAUCAACUUAGAUGAUGAAGUGGUGAUUGUUGAUGAGAAAAUCAAUGAUGAAAUCUUGGAGAAGAUUGUGGAAGCCAAGGGUAAAGGAAAGGUUGGGGAAGCGAAGAAAACAGUGAAAGAUGGUGAAGUUCUUGCUCCAGCAAGUGAGAAUUCUUUUGUUCCUCCUCCCUAUGAACCCAAACUACCAUUCCCUGGUAGAUUCAAGAGGCAGCUGCUAGAGAAGUACAAGGCUUUGUUUGACAAGCAAAUGACUGAAGCUCAGGUUGCAAUGCCUAUCAUCGAUGCUUUCAUGUUGAUUCCUCAAUACAACAAGUUCCUGAAAGAUGUUGUAGCUGAAAAGAAGAAGGAAAUGGAAAGCAUGAUGAUUCUUACCCAUGAGUGCAGUGCCAUCAUCCAAAGGCUUGAUGUUCCAGAGAAGUUAGAGGAUCCAGGAUGCUUUACACUACCUUGUGCUCUUGGACCUAUGGUAUUUGAGAAAUGUCUCUGCGAUUUGGGAGCUAGUGUCAGUGUGAUGCCUUUGUCUGUUGCAAAGAAGCUUGGAUUCACUCAGUACAAGAAGUGUAAACUCUCUCUGGUGUUAGCUGAUCGUUCAGUGAAGUACCAUGUGGGCAUCUUAGAGGACCUACCUGUGAAGAUUGGAAGGUAUGAGAUACCUAUAGAUUUUGUGGUGCUUGAGAUGGGUGAGGAGGCUCAGGACCCAUUGAUUCUUGGAAGGCCAUUCUUAGCUACAGCAGGAGCAAUUGUUAAGGUGAAAGAGGGCACGAUUGAUCUCCAUUUGGGUAAAGGGCAUGUUCUCCACUUUGACAUCAAGGAGAAAAUGAAGAAACCAACUGUGUUCGGGCAAGUCUUCUACAUUUAAGAAAUGGGCACUCUUACUGAUGAGCACCUUGAAGAGUUACCACCUGACAACGAUGAGGAGGGAGCAUCUCCCUCUACUCAUUCUCCAUAGAAGGUAACCCACUACUUUCCCUUGUAUAUACCAUUUCGUUUUUGCAUAUUAGUUUUCUCUUUUUGGGUAUCUCUCUCUCCUUGACAACACAGAGACUGUGUAUCUCAAGUUUGGGGGAGGUACCAAGCAUUUGAUCAUGUUUGCUUUGAUUGUGUUUCAUUUGAGUCAUGCAUUGCACACCUAUUUGCAUAAAAAAAAAAAGAUUUUUCAUUUAGUUUGCAUCAUUUGCACCAUUAGGAGAGUCUAGAGCAUAUAGGUUGCAUUCACUUGCAUUGGGAGCAAUGAUUUUAAAUGCCUUGUAAAGAACACUACGUUGCACCUGAGUAGCCAUGCACCUCUCGAAAAGACUUGUAUGUUUCGAGCCUUGAAAACUCUUCUUGAAACUUGUUGAUUGUAGAAACUCAGUCUUUGAAGCCACUACAACCUUAUUUGAACUGAAUGAACUUAAUGCUUCUUGCUUAGGGUCUCUUGUGUACUGAGUCAUGGCUAUACACACUUGAGUUGUCACAUCUUUUAUGCCAUUCUUUUUUACAAACUCUAGUGGUAGACCACUCCCAAAACCUUUCCUUCCUUUUAAGCUUUCAUUGUUUGAUGAGUGAGGCCUUCUUCAGAAAGUUUUACAUGUGCAUAAUGUUGAGAGUAUCGGGAACGACAAUGCUUGAUCUUCAUUUUUGCUGGAUUGGACAUUCUAUUGUCUAGCUAUAGGUGGGAGGGUGAGCGUUGUAAUCAUGAUUUGGGAGAAAUAAAAAGGAUAGAUUCUUGUGCUCAAGUGAAUUGAUUUAUUGGGAUAAGUAGAGAACCUCCAGCUCUAGUUUUGAAAAGUCUUGGCCCCCAACCUACAAAAAAAAAAAGGGAAUAAUAAAAAAAAAAAAAAAAAAAAAAGGGGCAAAGAAAAAAAAAAAAAAAAAAGGGAAAAAAAAAAAAAAAAAAAAAAAAAAAAGGGGCUAGCAAAGUUGUUAGGAGCUGAGAGACAUUUUGAGGUUGUGAAAAAUCCCUUAUAGAUUUCAAGGAAAAAGAGCUGAUGUUUUUAGAAUCUUUUGGUGAGAGGUGUGAGUUGGGUUUGACAUUUGAGAGUGAAUGUGUAACUUAUAUGUUUGGGAAAAGGGUAGAACAAUGGAGAUUGAGCAUUGUAUGCAUGAGUUGGUCCCUUUCUUAGAUAUAUUAUGUGCAAUGUCAAGGCUACUUGUUUUGAGAGUAAACCACCUUAAAGAUCAUAUGUUUUGAACCUCUUGAAUCACUUAAAUAAAAGCAUUCCCUUACCCAACCAAAUGACUUGGACCAACUGACCAUUUGCAAGAAUUCACUUGAUAUCUUAUGCUUAAUGAAUGUGAGAGUUGGCAGAUUUGAAUGUGUGGAUGCUUGAUAAUGAGUGUAGGGACAAAAGGAGUUGAGAUAGGCCUAGAGAAGCUAGAGUGUAAUAAGAGACUGGGCUAAUUGUGUUUGCUAGUGGUGUUUCUUUUGGCUAUGAGCUCCCACCUUCAACCUCUCUCCCUAUGAGUUCUAGAAAGUUCACUUGUGGACAAGUAAAGAACAAGUUUGGGGGAGUUGAUAUCUUGCAUAUUUCUAUUGUUUUAUCCAUUCAUCCAUGUGCAUUUUGAUCAUAUAGAUUAGGAUUUAGCCAUGUUUAGGUUGCAUUUUGCAUACAUGAGUCCUUAUCAGGUAUUGGAGUACCACAUGGAGUUCUUGGAGACACUUGGAGGCAUUUGGAGCUCAAAAAUGAGUGUUUAGAGUGGUCAUUGGGCGAGCAAGGCAUGGGAGCGACCAGUCUGGAGCGACACCACCAAGUCGCUCUGAUCACCCUACUGGAGCGACCUAACCAGAGCGACAGGGAGAAGUCGCUCGCGGUUUCAUCACUCGGAGACGCGAGAACGAGCCCGGAGCGACCUCUCGGAGCGACACAGCGAGGUCGCUCCAGCUGGGAGCGACGUUAUGGGAGCGACAGGGAGAAGUCGCUCGCGGUUUCAUCACCCGGAGACGCGAGAACGAACCCGGAGCGACCUCUCGCAGCGACACAGCGAGGUCGCUCCCGAAGCCUAGAGCGACUUGUCGGAGCGACGGGCUGA
RNAcentral lists this long non-coding RNA (5871 nucleotides) under Brassica napus (rape). RNAcentral's name for it is "long non-coding RNA (BNAP_LNC017550)". The record is from RNAcentral. Lineage: Eukaryota; Viridiplantae; Streptophyta; Magnoliopsida; Brassicales; Brassicaceae.